Molecule: ribosomal RNA, 233 nt
Filed under: uncultured bacterium
Lineage: Bacteria
Description: partial 16S ribosomal RNA
Rfam family: Bacterial small subunit ribosomal RNA
Source: RNAcentral
CGGAACGGGUGAGUAAUGUAUCGGAACGUGCCCAGUAGUGGGGGGUAACUACUCGAAAGAGUAGCUAAUACCGCAUGAGAACUGAGGUUGAAAGCGGGGGACCUUCGGGCCUCGCGCUACUGGAGCGGCUGAUAUCAGAUUAGGUAGUUGGUGGGGUAAAGGCUUACCAAGCCUGCGAUCUGUAGCUGGUCUGAGAGGACGACCAGCCACACUGGGACUGAGACACGGCCCAG